This is a non-coding RNA of Triticum urartu, 135 nucleotides long. The record is from Rfam. NCBI's taxonomy places the organism in Eukaryota, Viridiplantae, Streptophyta, Magnoliopsida, Poales, Poaceae.
AUACUACUCCCUCUGUUCCGAAUUACUUGUCUUGGAUUUGUCUAGAUACGGAUGUAUCUAGACUCAUUUUAGUGCUAGAUACCUCCCUAUCUAGACAAAUCCAAGACAAAUAAUUUGUAACGGAGGGAGUACAUC